UGAUCAGCUGAACCAAUGGGAAGUUGCAAUUUAUUCUUCCGGAAAAUCUUCGAGUUAACUCGCGCUUGGGAUUGUAAGAGAAGGCUGUUCUCAGGCUACCUCGAAAAAUGAGCGAUUCUGGAAAAGUCAAACCUGAAGCAAAUGGAGCAAAUAGAAGACAAGGAAGAAAAAGGUCAAGGUCUCCUGUGGACCGAACUCGAGCUCUCAAAGAUGGAUCACGUGACAGGCGCCGAGGUGCGGGUGGCGGAAAUUUGCCAUCAUCCAGAAUCAUUGUCAAGAAUUUGCCAUAUGAAAUCAAAUGGCAGACCCUGAAAGACAUCUUCAGAAGAGAAGUGGGAGAUGUGUCUUUUGUAGAAGUACUGGAAGGUCCUGAUGGAAAAUCAAAAGGGAUUGCGGUGAUUGAGUUCAAAGACAAGGAACAUGCCAAGAAGGCCAUUGACAAAAUGCACAAGUUCAAAGUUGGAGACAGAGAAAUUGUUGUCAGAGAGGAACGUGAGCGGGAUCGCCAGUUCUUUGAGCGACAGAUGGGCAUGGAUGGUCGUGGGAUGGGAGGUGAUAUGGGAGUUUGCGGAUUGGAUGUAGGAAGAGGAAUGGAUAUGCCCCGAGGAAUGGACUUAGUCAGAGGAAUGGACAUGCCUCGUGGGAUGGACUUUGUCAGAGGCAUGGAUCUGUCUCGAGGGAUGGAUGUUGGAGGUCGAGGGAUGGAUGUUGGAGGACUGGGAAUGGGAGGUGGCUUGGGUCUUGGAGGAGGACUGGGACUUGGCAGUGGCAUGGGAUUGGGAGGAGGUGGAGGAAGUGGAGGCUUGAUGGGUGGUGGCAUGGGGGUUGGGCCAAGUGAUGUGAGCCCUGAGAUCCUUGCUCAACUAGGAAUUGAUGGACCUGUCACCGGCACCGUCUUUGUUGCCAAUCUUGAUUAUCAGGUUACUAGAUGGAAACUAGUAGAAGUCUUCAGACUGGCUGGCAAUGUGAUAAAUGCUGAAAUCAAAGAAGACAAGAAUGGUAAAUCCCGUGGAAUGGGUAUUGUUGAAUUUGAAUUUCCUAUUGAGGCUGUUCAAGCUGUCUCGAUGUUUAAUGGUCAGACAUUGUUUGACCGAAAAAUGAUGGUCCGCAUUGACAAACCACCACCAGAAGAAAAGCCUUUGCCUCCAAAACUUCCAAGUGGCCUAAAGUCUAUUGGCAUGGGUCUUGGUAGUGGAGGGGCACCACUUACCAACUUGUCACAAGCAAGUGGUUUGGGAGGUGGUCCUGGGUUUAGCAUGCAGGGUGCUGGAAUGGGAGGAUUGGGAGCAGGUGGUUUGGGAUUGGGUUUGGACAUGGGACUAGGGGCAGGCACAGGAGGCUUAGGAGUAUCAGGUUCUUUUGGAGGUGUAGGAGGUUUGUCAGGUGUCAUGGGUACAGCAGGCCUUGGAGGAGCAGGGUCAUUAGGGCCAAGUGGCUCGGUAGGCGUUGGUCUGGGUUUGGGAGGUGCCAUGGGCAUGGGCCUAGGAGAUUCUCUAGGUGGUAACAGUAGUCUUGGUUCCUCCAAGAUGGGGCCUGGUCUUGGUGGCCUUGGGGGUGGAGCUGAUAAUAUGGGAGGUGUAGGCAUGGGAGGCAUGGGGCUUGGAGGUGGAGUUGGGAUGAUGGGUGCAGCACCAGGAGUUGGUGGUUUGGGAGGUAACUCUGGUUUAGGUGGGGGUCUUGGUAUUGGAGGCCCUCAUGAAGGUGGUGGCAGAGGUGGAUUUGAUGCCUCUCCACGUUCAGGUUAUGAUGCUGGAGGACGAGCUGCUUUUGACGGUAGCGGUCGAGGUGGAUACGACUCACUUGGGAGAGGCACCAUGUCAGAUUUGCGGGGCCGAGAUAAUCUAGAUCUUGGAGGACGAGGUGGCCUUGACCUGGGCGGAAGAGGUGGAUAUGAUCGUAGUGGCCUUGAUGUAGGGAUGGGAAGUAGAAACAGUGGCUUGGAUGUUGGUGGACGUGGUAGUUAUGAUACACUUGCUGGCCGUGGUGGUUUAGAGGAUUCCAGGGCAGGGUUUGAUUCUGGUAGAAAUAUUGAUGUCAACAUGAGAGGCAGUGGGUUUGAUGUUGGCCGCAACAGCUAUGAAAGUGGCAUGAGAGGAACUGGUGGUUUUGAAAACACUGGCCGAGCAGGACUUGACACAACAGGACGUGGAAAGGAUACCGAUGGCAGAUCUGAUCGCAGUGGUCGAACAGGCGGCCGCUCAGGAGGCAAUUGUUCAAUUCUUGUGAGAAAUUUGCCGUAUACCAUUACCUGGCAAGAUCUGAGGGAUCGGUUCCGCGACAUUGGUGAUGUGAAGUAUGCAGAGAUUGUAAUGGACAAAGGUCGUCCAACUGGUGAUGCAUUGAUUCGUUUUGGAAGUGAAGAAGAUGCAGUUCGUGCAAUCAAUCUUCUUGAUCAAACUCGUCUUGAAGGUCGCACCAUCAGAGUGGUCUUGCGUCCAUGAAUGCACGUGGUUGGACCAAGCAGCUUGCCCUUCUCAUUGGAAGCUGCAGUAAUCAGACACCACAACUUUUGGUGAACAAGAUUAAAAGUUGGCAUGUUUAUCCAUGAGGUUUGAUCACCAUUGAAAUCAAGCACCUUGGUGCAGGCAUGUCGAUAUUUCUCUAGAUGUGGGUUCCCUUCCCCUACCACCACCACAUCUGAUGCUUUUGUCAUCCCACAACCUGAAGGCUGGAAGAUUAAAAGAAAAAGUCCGUGAUUUACCCAUGAUUUUUUUUAAAGCAAUUUGAAUGCUUGAGUUUAUGAGAUGAAUGCUUGACGCUGGUUGCACCAUUACCAUUAAGCUUAAUCACAUUGGCAGGUUUAUAAAGUUUAAACCAAAAUUAAAUGUGGCUAUAAAAUGA
RNAcentral lists this unclassified non-coding RNA (2841 nucleotides) under Pomacea canaliculata. RNAcentral describes it as "heterogeneous nuclear ribonucleoprotein M-like, transcript variant X1". Lineage: Eukaryota; Metazoa; Mollusca; Gastropoda; Architaenioglossa; Ampullariidae. The record is from RNAcentral.